Long non-coding RNA from Rhea pennata, 501 nucleotides. RefSeq lists it as uncharacterized. The record is from RefSeq and is a predicted model, not a curated record. The transcript has 2 exons. Lineage: Eukaryota; Metazoa; Chordata; Aves; Rheiformes; Rheidae.
AUGCGCAGGGACCAGCUCUGAUAAAGGCAUCUGAGACAGACCACUCUGAAGACCACCAAACUCUAAAAGCUCCAGCCUGCAUUUAAGGAAAAUAACCUGAAGGUACCCUGGAUCAGGCUGUCGGCAGGAGGGCAAAGGCUCAAAGAUGACCUUGCAGAAUUUGGUCGGAUGGCUGAGGCACUAACAUUCAGCUACAUUCAAACUCUGAUAUCUGGCUGGGGUUUUUUUGAGAAGGGGGAGCAUUUCUCUUAUGCUUUUUCUCCCUUCAUAUUCCUAGGUACAUCAUUUGCACUGCAACAUGUAAGAGGUUUUGCAAAAUCAUGGAAGUGGAGCAAACAGAGAGCACUAGAAGCCUUGCUCUCCUCUACAGCACAUUGUAAACAUGGAAAUGAUGGGAAAAUUUGCUUACUUUUAGCUUCCAGAGUCCUCUGUGUAAGUUCCUUGCCCACAGAGCAGAACAUAGCGUAAAUAUGUGGCAAAAAUAAACAGAUCUCUACCUAA